Molecule: long non-coding RNA, 412 nt
Organism: Hyla sarda
Lineage: Eukaryota; Metazoa; Chordata; Amphibia; Anura; Hylidae
Exons: 3
Source: RefSeq, a predicted model, not a curated record
CUUCACUGUUACAAGUUCACAUAGCUGUUGUGCACUCCAGGCUACAUGUUUUCUCCUCCCUUUUUGGCAAGACCUAAAGUGAAUGGAAUACUCCUUUAAUCAGAGAACAGCUAAUGGUAACUCUGAUGGAGCUGAAAAGAUCAACAGCUAAGGCAGGAGAGUCUGUCCCUUUGUAACAGAGUUUGGCUAUUCCUCACCCAAUAUUAAGCCCACUACACAGCAGUUUCAGUUUCAAGGUGCAACCAGGAUUGCCAACAUGAAGGCCAGAAUUCAUUCCACGGAUCACUUGUUACGGUUUCCUCCAGAAACUUUUACAGAAAGAAUUUGCUGACUUUCAGUGUAAAAUUACAUUAAAAAAAAUGAAAAUUGUGGUUUUAGUUUUUUUUUUAGUUGACUACCAUGACACUGUUUC